UACGUAGGGUGCGAGCGUUACUCGGAAUUACUGGGCGUAAAGCGUGCGUAGGUGGUUUUUUAAGUCCGUUGUGAAAGCCCUGGGCUCAACCUGGGAAUGGCAGUGGAUACUGGAAAGCUAGAGUGCGGUAGAGGGUAGUGGAAUUCCCGGUGUAGCAGUGAAAUGCGUAGAGAUCGGGAGGAACACCAGUGGCGAAGGCGGCUACCUGGACCAGCACUGACACUGAGGCACGAAAGCGUGGGGAGCAAACAGG
This 253-nucleotide ribosomal RNA is filed under the name uncultured bacterium. Its description in RNAcentral is "partial 16S ribosomal RNA". It matches the Rfam family "Bacterial small subunit ribosomal RNA", at positions 524 to 776 of the family's 1533-position model. The record is from RNAcentral.